Molecule: long non-coding RNA, 147 nt
Organism: Eucalyptus grandis
Lineage: Eukaryota; Viridiplantae; Streptophyta; Magnoliopsida; Myrtales; Myrtaceae
Exons: 2
Source: RefSeq, a predicted model, not a curated record
UAGUGCUUUAGGUACGAGAAGGGAGGUUCCAAAUACUUGACCAGUGCUUGGCUCGUGAGUACCGCAUGUCCCUACAAGGAAUAUCUAAGCAAAUUUCUCAUGACUUUUGUGAGGGGGUUCGGGCACGAGUGGUGGACAAGGACUUAG